Long non-coding RNA from Cavia porcellus (domestic guinea pig), 2447 nucleotides. RefSeq lists it as uncharacterized. Lineage: Eukaryota; Metazoa; Chordata; Mammalia; Rodentia; Caviidae. The record is from RefSeq and is a predicted model, not a curated record. The transcript is spliced from 5 exons.
UGUCACUUCUGAAUCUUACAAGGGCUAAUUUGUUGGAAUGAGCUUCAGCCUCAGGGAACGCUGGGAGGCAAAACCUGGGACAGUGGCAAACAGAAUUCGGUCCAUAGAAAACUGGGGCAUAGGCUCUACCAGGAACCAAGAUAUUGAUAUGAGAAAGGAGGGAGGGAUCUAAAGAAUCCCUUCCUGCUCCUGCUGUCAGCCCUGGGAGACCCCUUGCAUAGUGAAGGACUUGACAUCCACUGACUUCGACUUCUUCUGGUCAGAGGGACAAGAGGACCUGUUCUGAGCUGCACAAUUCAGGUGCAGAAUUCACAGGAGAACACCCCUUUCACCUCACUGGGACAAGAGCACUGAGAUUCAGGGAGGUGACCUUGCUGUGAGGAUCUUCACCAGCUCCCAAGAGGAGGCACAUCCUGUCGGCAAAGGGAGUAGACCAGGGUCUGCCGGGAGUCAAGGAGAGGACCCCAGGUGUGCCAUCAUUUGCUUUUUGAUUACUUGAAAAAAGCCAUUAUUUAAAGAGGUGAAAUCUGUGUUGCUGAUUUUGCUGUUCUUGGCACCCAAGUCUUUAUCACCAAACUUGCUAUCCCAUGGGAAGUCAAAACAUCUUCAUAGUUAGAUGAUCCAGCACAUCACCCUAAGAGGUGGAGGUGCAGAUUCUUAAGCCUGAGGGAGAGCAAGUAGAAACCACUGCUUCCUCUGCCUCCUCUUCCUGCUAUCCUCGAAUCCAGACCACAUCUAGAGAAGUGCCUCAUGGUGGGAUCCUGUCCCUAGAAUACUGAAGAUGACCUCUUCCCACGGUGACAUGGCCUCAAGUCAAAGGAGCCAGUUCAGCGAGGUCUCCAGCAAGCAAGAAGAGGAAGAUCUGCGCCACUCUGAGGAUAUUCUAGUUCGUCAGAUCUUGCGACUUGUGUUUCUAGAUGACAAGAUAGCUAAAUUGUUGCCAGUCCUCCUCCUUAAGUAUCAAAAGAAAGAUCCAAUCACCAAAGCAGAAAUACUACAGAUUGUUGAUGAGGAUUACCAUGUGUACUUCCCUCUCAUUGUCAGUCUAAUCUGUGAGUGCCUGUGUCUGAGCUUUGGCAUUGAGAUGAGGGAAGUGGGUCCCACUGGCCACACAUAUGAGCUUGUCUCCAUCUUGGGCCUCCACUUAUAAUGGGAUACUGGUUAAUGAUCAGAGCAUUCCCCAAAUCAACCUCCUAAUAGUCAUCCUUACUACCAUCUUCAUGAAGGAUAACCAUGCCAGUGUGGAGGACAUAAGGAAAGUACUGAGAAUAAGGGAAAGGUUGCCUCAGAGUAAGUACAUUGUUAUUGAGGAGCCUUGGAAAUUCAUCACAAAGGAUUUGGUAAGGGAACAGUACCUGGAGUGUCGGCAGGUGCCCAAUAGUGAUCCUGCUCGCUAUGAGUUCCUGUGGGGUCCCAGAGCCCAAGCUGAGACCAGCAAGAUGAAAGUCCUGAAGCAUCUGGCAAAAGUUAAUAGGAGAGAUCCGAGGUCAUACACCUGUCUGUAUGAAAAGGCUAUGAAAGAUGACCUACAGGAUGCCAUGCUGGAGUGAUGGCCCACAGAGGUGGUUAGGUACUGGAUAGGGACAGGCAGUAUUCUGAAGCCACAUAACAAGCUUAACUCCCACCUCAUGUGAAAAAGGGCCAUUUUUCAGUCUAUGUUUGUAGAGAUCAGGCAACUUUCUAAAUAGCUCAUGGCCAAGUUAUGAUGGGGAUAAUAUAGUCCAUGCCAUGAUGGUUAUUUUAUUUGGAUUCCUAAAAAUUGACAUGUGUUUUCUUAAUGACUUAUCUUGUUCCCUUUUUUAAGAUUGAAGGAGUUUGUGCAUCUUGUUUGAAGAAUAUUGAUGUUACAUAUGUUUUUAAUUUUCUGAUAUUAAUGGUUGAUUUUUAUUCCAGAUCUGUAUGUGAUUUUGUAUAAUAUUGAUCACACGUAAAUUUAAUCUUUUAUCCUGAGUGCAGGCAUCUUUUAAAUUUUGUAAAAUCAACUGGGAAAUUAUUUUGUUUAUAAGAUGAAACUGGUUAUCACAACAUUGGGAUUAGAACUUCCUUAGAAAUGUGUAUGAGAUUUAUGCCAGAUUUAUGUCCAGAAAUAGGCAUACAGAUAAAAUCUGAUGUUCUACAUUAUUAAAGAUAUAGGUGCACCUGAAUUUUCUGUUUUGUUCAUUAUAGUGUAUCAGGAAACGUUUUGUCAGUGUAGAACUCCACCUGCUCAUGGGAAAAUUGAGCCCUGAAUUCUCAUUACAGCUGUGCUCUUUGGAAGGCUCUGUGUCUGGUAGAGAGAUGAGUAAAGUAUCCUGAGCAGUAUUAAGCCCAUGCUAUAGGACGGUGGAGUGUAGCAGCACCACCAAUGUUGAGAGAUAGACGGAUUUCCUCAAGAACUUAAAGGCAAGAAACAGGACACUGAGGAGGGGAGUAUAGUAGAGAACUGCCUUGGGUGGGUGCUGAGCCAU